UACGGGUGGAGCAAGCGUUGUUCGGAUUUACUGGGUUUAAAGGGUGCGUAGGUGGAUAAUUAAGUCAGUGGUGAAAUCUUCAGGCUUAACCUGGAAACUGCCAUUGAUACUAUUUGUCUUGAAUACUUUGGAGGUAAGCGGAAUAUGUCAUGUAGCGGUGAAAUGCUUAGAUAUGACAUAGAACACCAAUUGCGAAGGCAGCUUACUACACAGUAAUUGACACUGAGGCACGAAAGCGUGGGGAUCAAACAGG
This 253-nucleotide ribosomal RNA is filed under the name uncultured bacterium. RNAcentral describes it as "partial 16S ribosomal RNA". It matches the Rfam family "Bacterial small subunit ribosomal RNA", at positions 524 to 776 of the family's 1533-position model. The record is from RNAcentral.